GCGCUACUUUUGCCUCAGUUGAGUUGAUGCUUUGCAAAGGACAGUCAUCCUCAUGUUCAAAUAAAUCACUUUGAGUGGACAAAGAAGACAUUCUGUGUCCAAUCUGAAGGGUGCCUGAAAGCACAAUGGAUAGAAAUCAUAAACCGUUGAGAAAAAUUAUUCUAAAAGCUGGGACCCUCCAAGCUAGUGCUGGAGAGCAGGUCCUCCAGACAGACAUCACUGACCAUGAUGGACUAAGGCUGCCAGCCCUGGUAGACUGCCCCAUUGACAGCCCCCUAAAGG
Long non-coding RNA from Oncorhynchus gorbuscha (pink salmon), 282 nucleotides. RefSeq lists it as uncharacterized. Lineage: Eukaryota; Metazoa; Chordata; Actinopteri; Salmoniformes; Salmonidae. The record is from RefSeq and is a predicted model, not a curated record. The transcript has 3 exons.